UUCAUCUUCUUUCUUCCCUGUCAUGUAGCCAUUUCCGCCAUCACACGAUGCAAAAAUGAACGCAUACCAUAAAGUAAAACUCCUGAUUCACUUAUAUGAACAAUCAAAUUUCUACAUCCCUUUUUCACUAUUAUCUCCGCACUACUAAAAAAUGUGCAAAUUCCGACUGAAACUUUUCGACGGAAAAUAGUAGUCGGAAAUUUCCGGCGGUUUUAAUCAGAAAAUGUAAAAAAAUUUAUUAAAUUUUUAAAAAAAUUUCGACCACAUUCCGACAACACUAGUCGCAACAUUUUGGCGCAAAAAUCCAAAAUUUUUGUUAGCGAUCGAUUUGGUCGGUCCAUGAAAGUCAACUUUUAUGUUUCACCAGUUUUGUUCUUUCGACUGAAACGGUCGGAACAUUAAAAGUUAAAAAAUAAAUUUUUUCCUUUAUUUUCCAACUGAUUCGGUGGAAAAUCUUUUUAAAUUUUUUGUCAGUGAUAUACCGACCCAAACAUUCGGGCAAUAAAUAUUAUUUUAUUAGUACUUUUGCAUCCGACCGAGUCGGUCAAAAAUAUGUUUUGGAAACCUCCCCGACCCCUUUCUUCUUCUCUUUCACUUUUCUUCCUUUCUUUCUCUUCUCUUUCUCUUCCAUCGACGACGUUCUUGUUUGUAUAUCAAUUUUCCAAAGGCAGCAAAUCCGGCGUCUAGGGGUUGUUUUCCGGUGAGGUAAGUUCUCCGUUCAUCCUUUCUCUGGCCUUCAAUCUUAAUAUAUUUGUUCUUUUUUGUUUUGUUUAUUACAAUUCAAGUUAUUAAUUUUACACUAUCAUAUGUAAUUGAAUCUUGAGAACCAUUAUAACAAAAGCUCUAAAUUCAUAUUUUAGGGAAUUGAAGUAGAUAAUUCGCUUUCUUCCUAAGGCAUCUAUAAGUACUUUUUUUUAACUAAGCUAGAUGUUCUUUAUGGCUUUUUAACUUACUUUAUUUAGCUUUGGACUAGUAAUAAUUAACCUCUAGACUUUGAGUUUUCUUGAUUCCUCUUCCUAAUACGAUGUACAAGUGAACUAUAUAUACUUGUGUGCUAAUUUUGUUUUGUAUAUGGUAUUGAUCUUGAAACCUACUCCUAAGUAACGGAAAAAAAAUAAUGCCCUUGCCUUUAUCUAAUUUGACAUCCUGAGAAGUCAUUGUAACAAAAGCUCUAAAUAUGCAAUUCUAAGACUUGCAAACACAUGAUAUUUUUUUAAUUAUUAUGCAAUAAGCCAAAUGUACAUAAUAUCACCAAUACUUGAGGAACUCUUCCCCCCUGCCCCUUAAUUCAAAUAUGAUUAUGGAAUAAGGUUUAUUGAAAAAGCAUCAAGAAAGUUUCUUGGGAUUGUAAAUGAAGCGAAGAUUUGUGUGCAUGUUUAAUUACGUAACUUUUUAUGUUAAAAAUCUAAUUGUGUUACUUAUGAAACAUAGCUAAUAGUGAUAUUAAUUUUAAAGAAUAUUAGUUUAGAGAAGUUUAAUACUUAUCAAUUUUUGUAGAUGGAAUUUGGGUAUCGUAGAUGAAUAUAUAAUAGGAAUUAUCCGAAUCGUAUGGGGUUUCGGGAUGAAUUUAUGGAAGGGGUUGCUGACUUUAUUGCUAAUGCAAAGAAACUUGAUGAUUUUCUUAUUGAAGGGACGAUUAGGCGCCCUUGUGUGAAAUACAAGUGUGUUAAGUUAUUCGGACCAGAUACUAUUACUGUUCAUCUCUAUAAGAAGGAGUUUAUGAAAAACUAUUAUUUGUGGAUUGUUCAUGAGAAAAGUCAUGCUAGUGCAGAUGGUAUUGAUUUUUUAGAAUUCUUUUGGUAGUGAAGAAGAUAGUCUCAUAGAGGAGAAUAUUUAUGUUGAAAGUUCUCAAUUUAAUGACAUGACGAGUGAUGCUUUUGAGAUGUUCCCAGAGGCUCAAUCUGAACCAAAUGAUGAGGCUAAAUGCUUCUUCAAACAGUUAGCCGAACCUAAUUGUCCGCUUUAUGAAGGCUUGGUGCAUUCCAAGUUAUGUAUUGUAAUUAGACUACUAAAUAUUAAAUCGGAUAAUUCUAUUUCUCAAUAGGGCAUGGAUUCUAUCAUUGGCCUUAUGAGCGAACAAUCCAACAAAGAUUGACAUACCCAAAUAUUUUUACACAGCUAAAAAAUUAGUUUUCAAGUUGGGUCUUUCAUUGGAAAGGAUUGAUUAUUGUAAAAAAGGUUGCAUGUUAUUCUAUAAGGAUGAUGCACCUUUAAAAAAUUACAAAUUUUGUAACCAGCCUCGUUACAAAGAAGUCACAAAUGCUAAACAGAAGAAGGUUCCAAUGAAGGCAACGCACUACUUACCCUUUAUACCAAGGUUAAAGAGGUUAUAUGGAUCAAUGAACUCCGCUCCUCAUAUGAGAUGGCACUAUGAACAUAGAAGGCCAGAUGGUGUUCUAUGCCAUCCGUCAGAUGGAGAAGCAUGGAAGUCUUUUGAUAGGGUAUUACCAGACUUUGCUAGUGAACCAAGAAACAUUAAGUUGGGAUUAUGUGCUGAUGGAUUCACUCCAUUUGCAGCCUCUGCUGCACCAUAUUCAAGUUGGCUAGUGUAUGUGACGCCGUAUAAUCUUCCGCCUGAGUUGAGUAUGACAAGUUCAUAUUUGUUUCCAACUUUUAUUGUUCCAGGUCCAUGCAAUCCAAAAAAAUAAUUGAUGUUUACAUAUAGCCCUUGAUUGAUGAGUUGAAGUUAUUGUGGCAUCAAGGUGUGAAAAUAUAUGAUAUGUCAACUAAGCAAAACUUCAAAUUGCGUGUUGUUUUAAUGUGUACUAUAAAUAAUUUUUCUACUUAUGGAAUGAUGUCCGGGUGGUCAAGUGCCAGAAAGUUAGCUUGUCCGACUUGUAUGGAAGACACAAAGGAAUUCACUUUGAAACAUGGAGGCAAGAACACAUGGUUUGACUUUCAUUGUCGCUUCUUGCCAAUGAAUCAUGAGUUUAGGAGAAAUACCAGUGCAUUUAUGAAUAACAAAACUGAUUAUGAGGUGCCACUGCAUGUCUUGUCGCCUAAAGAGACUUGAAACAGAGUUAGGAAUCUACCUAAGGUAACAGAGUAUCCAUUAUCUAAUGACAUGCAUAUCAAGAAGAACUUUUUUGAUAACUUGUUUAAUACUAUGAUGGAUCAGCAACAAGACAAAAGAUAACUUGAAGGCUAGGAUGAAUUUGAAAAAAUAUUGUAGGUGAAGUGAGUUGUACUUGACAUACUUGAACAACAAGAUUCAGAAGCCUAAGACUAGUUAUACACUUUUGAUGAGAGAAGAGAGAUUUGUGAUUGGGUUAACAAUUUGAAGAUGCCUGAUGGAUAUGCAUCAAACUUAUCUAGGUGUGUUGACAUGAAAGAAGGGAAGUUGACGUUUAUGAAAAGCCACGAUUGUCACAUUUUCAUGGAAUUUUUUAUGGCUAUCGCUUUCAAUGUUUUGCUUGAUAGAAUAUUGAAGCCCAUCACAGAGAUAUGCUUAUUUUUCAAGGAGUUGUACUCUAUCACAUUGUAGGUUGAGAACCUAGAUUACAUGGGUAGUAAUAUUCGUUUAACUUUAAACAAGUUGGAAAAAACUUAUCCGCUUGAUUUUUUUUGAUGUGAUAGAACAUCUUCCAAUUCACCUUGUGCAAAAGACACAACUAGGAGGUCCAGUUUAAUGUAGAUGAAUGUAUCUCUUCGAGAGAUAAACCUUUAAUCAAUUAUCCUUACGUAUUUUAGUUAAACAUUAUUUUAUCUUAAAAUCGUGCUAUGCAACAUGAUUGACAAAUAUAAGCGGACCGUGAAAAGUAGAUCAAGGAUAUAGGGGUCAAUAUGUGAGGCAUAUUUGGAUAGAGAAACUUCUUAUGUUUGUUCAUAUUAUUUAAACUUGAUGUGUUAUGUUUAAGAAAUAGACCUGAUCGGCAUGAUGAUGGAGGCAAUACCGAUCCAUUGGCACCACCUUUUUCCAUAUUCAAUCAACCUGGAAAAGGUGGUCCAAAACGUAGUCCAACACAAUUUUUGAUUGAGAUGGAGCUAAAUUCAUCUACAACACAUGUACUACUAAAUUGUCCCGAGGUCCAACCUUAUUACAGGUAAGUGUAUAUUUAUAUUGCCAACUUAUUCAAGAUCAAUUAUCAAUUAUUUUAUCUAAUGAAAGUUUCAUUUCUUUCGGACAGUUGGUUUGGGGGUACAUUUGGGUAUGAGCAUGUUUAUCCUAACACUGUGUAAGUAUUAGUGAAGUUUGCUUCAAGGCAAAUUAUUAUCAAUUGUACGUACUUUUUAAAUUCUAGUUGUUAUUGGGUUCGCUCUAGGUUCAUAAUCCAGAUAAUGACGUAAAUGAUCUAUUUUGCGUGAUAUUGCUUGGGGACAUGACCCUAAAGUCAGAAUGAUGUCUAAGUACUACAUCAAUGGGUACACGUUUCAUACAUAAGAAUGGUCUAAGGUACUCAUUUAUCAUUGCACAAAAUAUGAAACAUGUGCAUUAUGUACCUUAUCCUUUGUGUAAGAAUAAGGUUGUAUGUCGGGUAGUGAUAUCAACAAAGCCCGUGGGUAGAGUUGAAGUCAAGGAUGUAUUUGAUGUAGCGUACCAGAAUGACAUAUCAAAUGUUGAAUCAAUAGUGGAUGAUGAACUAGUAGGUGAAUUCCAGGAUAGUGAAUGCCUCUAUGAAGAAUUCGAUCCUUCAAUCCUAGAUCAAAUCAAAGUGAGUAUAAGGAAGGAACAUCCAUGGCAAACAAGGACGGAGAUUCAAGUGAUGAAUAUGAAGCAAGCGAUGAUGAAGAAUUAUAUGAUGAAAAUGAAAAAAGAUGAUAAAAAUGAAUAUGAUCAAUAUGAAGAAAGCGAUGAGGAUUGAGUUAUUUGUGUGUUUUAUGACUUGUUUGAUUUCUUAUGUUAUUCCUUAUGUUAUUGUUUUAUUUUUAUAUUUAGUUGGAUUGUUUAUCUGUUUUUUCUUUAAUUAUUUUAAUAUAUAGAAGAAUUGCUUUAUACUAUGACAUCAUAGUUGAUUUUUUUUAUUAUUAUACUUGUUUUACUUAAAUUGCACAUACGACUUCCAAGGUAAAGAACAUAAAUAAUCUAAGAAGAAAAAAAAAUACUUUGCCAUCUACAAGUCACAUUUAUUCACAUAUGCCUAGUAUGAGUACUCCUCCUCGUAUUCUGAGUCCUUCUCAGUCGACUUCAUUACCACCCAAGUUUUUCAGAAUUCCUCCCUCCGGUCAGUACAGUACGGUAUUAUUCCAUGUCAGUAAAUGGUGGUUCAGCCUCCAAUACUAUUAAUUUUAUGCCCACACCUACUUUGCCACCUUUGAGUCAUCCCGUCCCUGCUAGUCAACUUGGUGGCUCACCAUUGAUUCUAUCCUCGGGCGGCCAUAACAAUCAGCAUGAUGGUUUGUCUUUUGUGCCUCCAUCAUCAUCCACUCCAUAUCAUCUCUAUCAUUAUCUACUCGUAGUAUAUCUAGACUGGAUAUUGGAGGCUCCCAAACGGCUCCAUCCCUAUCUACAAUUACUACUUCAGUUGUUUCUUCACGGAGACAGUAUGCUCGUGGGACUGUAGAGUACGAUCAUUUGCAUCGGUUGAUUAUCGUACCCCAUGAAGACGAGCCACACAUAUGGUUGUGGAAUUUAUGAAGCUAUUUUUUCAUGAGCCGUAGAAUUUAUGAAGCUAUUUUUUCAUGAGCCGUGGAAUUUCUGAAGUGAGAUACCAUAUCAGAUUAGAGUGAAUAUGUGGCAUCAAUUUAAGACUAAUUGUGUAUGGCAGCCUCAACAUGAAAUUUAGGUGAAUGCAAAUUUCGAGAAGAGAACUCAAAAAAUAAUUAAAGAUAGUCAUUUUGUUGCUCGGAAAGGUGGCAACAAGCCCAAUUGAUUUUGUGAAGAUGUAUGGCUUCAACUUUUAGAGAAGUGGAAUACCGAUGAAUGGAAGCAGAAGAGUAAAAAAGCAAAGACAAAUAGAACCUUCAAUAAGGGUAGAUCAUUGCACACCGAAAGUUCAAUUAGUUUUGCAGUCUAUCGAUUGAGAUUGGAAAAGGAACAUGGGAGAAAUGUGUCCCAUGCUCAUGUGUUUGAGGAGACACAUAGGAAAAAGAAAAAGGAUGGUACACGAGAAGGAAGGGUUGAACCGCGUGCAUAAUAGACAUAUGAAGAGUAUUAAAGAAGAUUGGAGGAAUGGCACUCAGCCUGAUUCCUAACCGUCCCCCGAAGAUAUGACUUCAAUAUGGAUACAAGCAACCGGUGAAGUAAAUAAAAAUAGAGUCUGCGAACUUGGAGUACAACCAUCCUCCAAUCAUCCAGCCGCAUUAUUUAGUGAUGCUUCUACUUCACCCGAAGAAAUUGAGACUAUGCGGAUACAAAUUAAUGAAUUGUUGCAACAAUGGAACAAUGCUCAAGAAACAAUAAGUAUGAUGCGGAUAUUCAUGGAAAAACAUGGCAAUCAACGUACAAUGGAGAAAUCUAACAAUGAGGAGACUGAAACUAAUGAGGAAUAAUAUUUUGAAUGUGUUAUAUGAUAUUU
Nicotiana tabacum (common tobacco) is the source of this 6455-nucleotide long non-coding RNA. RefSeq lists it as uncharacterized. The record is from RefSeq and is a predicted model, not a curated record. NCBI's taxonomy places the organism in Eukaryota, Viridiplantae, Streptophyta, Magnoliopsida, Solanales, Solanaceae.